UACGUAGGGCGCAAGCGUUGUCCGGAAUUAUUGGGCGUAAAGAGCUCGUAGGCGGCUCGUCGCGUCGGAUGUGAAAGCUUGGGGCUUAACCUCAGGUCUGCAUCCGAUACGGGCGGGCUAGAGGCAGGUAGGGGAGAACGGAAUUCCCGGUGUAGCGGUGAAAUGCGCAGAUAUCGGGAGGAACACCGGUGGCGAAGGCGGCUCACUGGACCGGUACUGACGCUGAUGCGCGAAAGCGUGGGGAGCAAACGGG
This 253-nucleotide ribosomal RNA is filed under the name uncultured bacterium. RNAcentral's name for it is "partial 16S ribosomal RNA". It matches the Rfam family "Bacterial small subunit ribosomal RNA", at positions 524 to 776 of the family's 1533-position model. The record is from RNAcentral.